This 253-nucleotide ribosomal RNA is filed under the name uncultured bacterium. RNAcentral describes it as "partial 16S ribosomal RNA". It matches the Rfam family "Bacterial small subunit ribosomal RNA", at positions 524 to 776 of the family's 1533-position model. The record is from RNAcentral.
UACAGAGGUCCCAAGCGUUGUUCGGAUUCACUGGGCGUAAAGGGUGCGUAGGCGGUCGGGUAAGUCUGAUGUGAAAUCUCCGGGCCCAACCCGGAAACGGCAUCGGAUACUAUCUGGCUUGAGGAUUGCAGGGGAGACUGGAAUUCUCGGUGUAGCAGUGAAAUGCGUAGAUAUCGAGAGGAACACCAGUGGCGAAGGCGAGUCUCUGGACAAUUCCUGACGCUGAGGCACGAAAGCCAGGGGAGCAAACGGG